CCUACGGGAGGCAGCAGUGAGGAAUAUUGGUCAAUGGACGAGAGUCUGAACCAGCCAAGUAGCGUGAAGGAUGACUGCCCUAUGGGUUGUAAACUUCUUUUAUAUGGGAAUAAAAUGUUCCACGUGUGGGAUUUUGUAUGUACCAUAUGAAUAAGGAUAGGCUAACUCCUUACCAGCAGCCGCGGUAAUACGGAGGAUCCGAGCGUUAUCCGGAUUUAUUGGGUUUAAAGGGAGCGUAGGGGGAUUGUUAAGUCAGUUGUGCAAGUUUGCGGCUCAACCGUAAAAUUGCAGUUGAAACUGGCAGUCUUGAGUACAGUAGAGGUGGGCGGAAGUCGUGGUGUAGCAGUGAAAUGCUUAGAUAUCACGAAGAACUCCGAUUGCGAAGGCAGCUCACUGGACUGCAACUGACACUGAGGCUCGAAAGUGUGGGUAUCAAACAGGAUUAGAUACCCGUGUAGUC
RNAcentral lists this ribosomal RNA (460 nucleotides) under uncultured bacterium. Its description in RNAcentral is "partial 16S ribosomal RNA". It matches the Rfam family "Bacterial small subunit ribosomal RNA", at positions 338 to 795 of the family's 1533-position model. The record is from RNAcentral.